AUAUCAAUAAGCGGAGGAAAAGAAACCAACAGGGAUUGCCCUAGUAACGGCGAGUGAAGCGGCAACAGCUCAAAUUUGAAAUCUGGCCCUUGGGUCCGAGUUGUAAUUUGUAGAGGAUGUUUUUGGUGCGGUAUCUUCCGAGUUCCUUGGAACAGGACGCCUUAGAGGGUGAGAGCCCCGUACGGUUGAAUGCCUAGCCUUUGUAAAACUCCUUCGACGAGUCGAGUAGUUUGGGAAUGCUGCUCUAAAUGGGAGGUAAAUUUCUUCUAAAGCUAAAUACUGGCCAGAGACCGAUAGCGCACAAGUA
Molecule: ribosomal RNA, 307 nt
Filed under: uncultured Xylariaceae
Lineage: Eukaryota; Fungi; Ascomycota; Sordariomycetes; Xylariales; Xylariaceae
Description: partial large subunit ribosomal RNA
Rfam family: Eukaryotic large subunit ribosomal RNA
Source: RNAcentral